Molecule: ribosomal RNA, 465 nt
Filed under: Vreelandella stevensii
Lineage: Bacteria; Pseudomonadati; Pseudomonadota; Gammaproteobacteria; Oceanospirillales; Halomonadaceae
Description: partial 16S ribosomal RNA
Rfam family: Bacterial small subunit ribosomal RNA
Source: RNAcentral
CCUACGGGUGGCAGCAGUGGGGAAUAUUGGACAAUGGGGGCAACCCUGAUCCAGCCAUGCCGCGUGUGUGAAGAAGGCCCUCGGGUUGUAAAGCACUUUCAGUGAGGAAGAACGCCUGGUGGUUAAUACCCAUCAGGAAAGACAUCACUCACAGAAGAAGCACCGGCUAACUCCGUGCCAGCAGCCGCGGUAAUACGGAGGGUGCGAGCGUUAAUCGGAAUUACUGGGCGUAAAGCGCGCGUAGGUGGCUUGAUAAGCCGGUUGUGAAAGCCCCGGGCUCAACCUGGGAACGGCAUCCGGAACUGUCAAGCUAGAGUGCAGGAGAGGAAGGUAGAAUUGCCGGUGUAGCGGUGAAAUGCGUAGAGAUCGGGAGGAAUACCAGUGGCGAAGGAGGCCUUCUGGACUGACACUGACACUGAGGUGCGAAAGCGUGGGUAGCAAACAGGAUUAGAUAACCUGGGAGUC